This 406-nucleotide ribosomal RNA is filed under the name uncultured bacterium. Its description in RNAcentral is "partial 16S ribosomal RNA". It matches the Rfam family "Bacterial small subunit ribosomal RNA", at positions 29 to 526 of the family's 1533-position model. The record is from RNAcentral.
AUUGAACGCUGGCGGCAGGCCUAACACAUGCAAGUCGAGCGAGCGGCGGACGGGUGAGUAAUGUCUGGGAAACUGCCUGAUGGAGGGGGAUAACUACUGGAAACGGUAGCUAAUACCGCAUACCAUCAGAUGUGCCCAGAUGGGAUUAGCUAGGAGGUGGGGUAAUGGCUCACCUAGGCGACGAUCCCUAGCUGGUCUGAGAGGAUGACCAGCUACACGGGAACGGAAACACGGUCCAGACGACCACGGAAGGCAGAAGUGGGGAAUAUUGCCAAAUGGGCAGAAGCCAGAUGUGACAAUGCCGCGUGAGUGAAGAAGGCCAUCGGGUUGGAAAGCACUUUCAGCGGGGAAGCGUUAACCGCAGAAGAAGCAACGGCUAACUCCGUGCCAGCAGCCGCGGUAAUAC